This 6969-nucleotide long non-coding RNA is filed under the name Sus scrofa (pig). RNAcentral's name for it is "lncRNA (ENSSSCG00015023492.1)". The record is from RNAcentral. Lineage: Eukaryota; Metazoa; Chordata; Mammalia; Artiodactyla; Suidae.
UUUUUUUUUUUUUUUUUUUGUCUUUUUAGGGCCGCACCUUCAGCAUGUGAAAGUUCCCAGGCUAGGGGUUGAAUCGGAGCUGCAGCUGCCGACCUACACCACAGCCACAGCAAUGCCAGAUCUGAGCUGUGUCCAUAUCAUAUCCUUAACCCACUGAGCAAGGCCAAGGAUCAAACCUGCAUCCUUGAAGAGACUAUAUCUGUUUCUUAACCCACUGAGCCACAGUGGGAACUCUGGGAUAUUAUUUUGGUUGACAUUAAGCUCAGGGCCUCCACAAAAUGUGCCACAAUGGCAUAUUGAUGAUUUUGAGUUAAAGUACUUAAGAAACAGCCAGUGUAAGAGGGCUACUCUUUUCUGUCUCCUUGAAAGCAGGAAAUAAAUCUCUCCUGUGAAAUGUGCACUCCCUGAUCUGGAGGUAGAAGGACACCCUUAUCACCAGAGAUAAGGAAUUAGGGCUGAGAAGCCUUAUAAGCAAACCUUGUUACUCCUUUAACUUACUAUGGAUGGCAAGCCUAACUUUUCUGUUUGGAUUCUUUAAUUAUUGAGCAUUCGAACCUUAAAUUCCUUUGUCCUGUCAAUUCCUCACAAAUGCAUUGUUUCUUUGUGUAAAAAGUAUAAAAGCUGUCUACUUUGGCCAUUUCUUAGGUCCCAUUUCUCUGAGACCUUCGUGCUCACGAAUUAAAAUUUGUUUCUUUUUCUCCUGUUAAUCUGGGUCUUGUGUCAAUUUUAUUAUUCAUCCAGCUACAAGAACUCAAGAGAGGUAUGGGGGGAAGUUCCCCCUCCCCAACACUGAUGUAGACAAAGAAAAUAUGAACCCACGCAUGUGCUGUUGGAAAAGGAAAGAGUAUUUUAAUAGACUUUUCAGGUAACUGUGGAUGUUCUUUGAUAUUACAUCAAAAUUCAACAGAUGGUAGUUUCUUAAACAUUAAUUGCAAGGUAGAAUCUAAAAACAUAUUGAUGAACUUUUCAAAAUUUGGUUAUAUUAAAAUCCAUAGGUUCAUAAUGAAUUUUGAAUGACUCUUGUUCACAAAGGAUUUUCUACCAUCCUGCAUUGAUCAUUUGGAAAAUAUUGGUUCAGUGAGUCAUACAGAUCUUCCAAAUAUUGACAUAUGUCAUUAUACAAUAUCAAGAAUUUCAUUAAUAUCACCACAAAUCUCAGGAGAAAAGUCUUAGUACUAAAAAGCUGUCAAGUUAUGGUAUCUUUAUAGGCUUCCCCAAAUUCUAAUUCAAACUUGACAACUCAAGAUUUACCAUUAGCAGCAAACAUUGUCAUAUGAUUUUUUUGAGGUGACAGGCUCACUUCAUUCAUUUUCAAGAAAAUGUCUACCCAAUUCCCAAAGGAAUAAUAGUUUGUCAGUUAACUAUUCUUUCUUUUUUUUUAAGUUAGCCAUUCUUCUAGGUGAAAAUGGAUCACCAUUUAAAAAGUGGCUAAUUCAGGAGUUCCCACUGUGGUACAGUGAGUUAAAGAUCCAGCACUGUCUCCAUGGUGGCUGGGGUCACUGCUGAGCCCGGCCCAGGGGGUUAAGAAUUCAGUGUUGCUGAAGCUGUGGUGCAGGUAGCCACUGUGGCUCAAGUCUGACUCCUGGCCCACAGGGCGGCCAAAAAAAAAAAGGUUUAUACUCACUGGUCAAGAUUUAGUAGGAGUAAUUUUUACAGCUUCAUCAAGGACAUUCUUAAGUGAAACAAGCUUCCCUCCUGCCCCAUGAGUGCAUGGUGAUGAAGAAUACAGUGACUGCUAGUUCAACGUGGUGCCAUGGCUUUGAUUUGUGUGAAAGUGACAGCAGUUUUACCCACCAUCUCUUUUACACCAUCUAUACAAGUGUUAGCACAGUGAAAAAGGUAAUGUCUUAGUAUGGUGACGACGAUGAAGAAAAAGAGGAUGUGGAGAAGAAGAAAAUAUUUUUGAACACAGAAGCCCUGAAAACUUCUCCAAUUCUACUCAGGCAUCUCAUGGACCAGACUGAAGAACAAUAAACUAAGGUAAUGUACUUAACUGUUUAUUAAAGUUCCCAAACUUAGAGAAAUUAUUUGUUAGCUUAUAGAUUUUUACCUAGUAAAAAUUAUUUUUUCUCAGUAGAAAAGAAAACUCUAAAAGUUAAAACUUUUUUAUUGCCUCUUAAGCCAUUGACCAGUUUUGUGUGUAACCCAUGAAUUGCAUCCUAACAUUCCUUUAUUAAAUUACGGAUAAGUACACAGUUUCUCAAAUUCUUUCUCUCUUUUCUUUUUUUCUUUCUUUCUUUCCUUCUUUCUUUCUUUCUUUCUUUCUUUCUUUCUUUCUUUCUUUCUUUCUUUCUUUCUUUCCUUCCUUCCUUCCUUCUUUUUUUCCAAUCGCAGCCACAGGAUGUGAAAGUUCCCAAGCCAGGAACUGGAGCCCAGUAGUGACAAUGCCAGAUUCUUAACCUGCUGCAACACAAGGGAACACCUCAAACACUGUCUACACUGGUUUUACAUCUUUCUGUUUCCCUCAUUAAUUGAUGAACUCAGUAAAAUCUUUGACACACGUUCAUUUUAUAUGUGCAUGAGUCAUGAUCUUAACUUUUUUCAAAAUUGUCCUUUAGCAACCAUCAGUGUUUCUAUCACAUUCCUAUUGCUAGUGUUAUUGAGCAAAAUCUCCUUUUUUUUUUUUUUUUUUCCCCCGGGGCUGAACCUGUGGCAUAGGGAAGUUCCUGGGCUAGGGGUCGAAUCAGAGCUGCAGCUGCUGGCCUACACCACAGCCACAGCAAUGCCAGAUCCAAGCCACAUCUGCAACCUACACCACAGCUCAUGGCAACACUGGAUCCUUAACCCACUGAGCAGGGUCAGGGAAUAAAGCCCGAGUCCUCAAGGAUACUAGUCAGGUUCAUUAUUGCAGAGCCACAAUGGGAACUCCUGUGCAACCAUUUUUGUCAAAGAAGGUUAUAAAAGCAUUUUGCUUUUUCAUCCUUCGCUCGCCCCUUUCAAAAACAGUCUUAUUAUUCUCUAAUUUCAUUCUCAGGACUGGCCCUGGAGCCAAACUCCUAGUUCUACCCUUCACUAGAAAUAUGACCUUAAACUGCUUAAUUUCUCACUUUGGAUUCCUCAUCUGUAAACUGGAGGUGAUAAUAAUCUCUACCUCAUAAGAUUAUAGAGUGGAUUAUUGAGAACAAGGGGUGUAAAGCUCCUGAUGCUCGAAAGAACUCAAUAGAUGGUCGUUAUUUUUAACACAAUGCUCAGCAUCUAAGAGCUAAAUAAAUGCUAGUUAUCAUGGCUCAGAAGUGAGGUGAUGGCUUAGGGGAGAGGCCCUCCUAAAAUGAUAUUUUUAGAAGGAGGACAAGAAAGGAAAUUAGUGGACAUGCCCCUAUGCCAGGCACUUUUCAUACAUCAUGUAAUUUCAUCCUCACCCAUUGUUGUAAGUCAGAUAUUAUCAUUCCAGAGCAGGACGAGGGUGAGGGGAGGGAGGUACCUAGAGGCCAAAAUUAAGGAGAGAGGCACUCCCUCUCAGGGUUGUGCUGAGGGAAAUGAGGCUCUAACAGGGUAGCUUGGUAACAGAGAGGUGAGCAGCAGAGAUGGGAUUUCCCCUCUGGUCUGCCAGCUGAAGCUGUGGUGUCGACCUGACAUGGACCAACCAUGGGGCUUCCUUGCUAUGAGUUUUCACCCCUUGACCCCAUCUGAUGGUACAGAUCUCUGAGAAACUGCCCAGCUUGUUCUGGAAGGUGCCCAGCUGUGAUUGCCCCACCAUGACUCAAGUCCCUAGCAACCUAAAAUGUUCUAACUUUCCUUUCACUGGAGGGCCCUGCUGACAUAGCUGCACUUUCAGCUUCUUGAGAGUAUCAUAGCAAUGGCCUCUUAAGAUUUUCUCAGUGAGCCCAGAUUCUAACAACUUCUAAUAACUUAAUAAGAAAGGCUUCUUAAGGCAAAACUGGGAAUUUCUGAUCUCUUCGUGAAAAGCUAAGCUUUUUGACCUCCCAUGGCAGAGGAUGCUUCUGGAGGCCACUCCUAUCACUAGGACGAGUCCUUCAGGCCUGCACUUGGGAUUGUUUUCCAACAUCUUUACUUCAAGGUAAAAUAGCUCUGGGGGUAAAAAAAAGCUGCCUUACCAUUUAGUGUUGCCUGUUCCUGAAGAUGGAAAGAUUUACCCAGUGAACAGAGAGCUGAAGCCACACUUGACUUUGGGGAGCUUUCUCUGAGACUCCCUGAGGCGUUUGUGUGAAUGACCAACAUAAGGGCAGGCAAAACCUUUGAAGGAACAAUGAAAGUCUGUUUGGAUAAGCUUCCCUGGAGUCUGAGGGUAGACUCUACAAAGGUGCCCCUCCCUCCACUCCACCUCAAGAGAGGAGGCUGAGCAGAGAAAUGAGUUAUUGGGAAGGAUUGUCCAAAUAAAAAGAUGACCUUUGUUUUGUUUUCAAGGUUUAGCGAUUUCUCUAGGAACAUGCUAUGGUCUGGCUUGUGUCCCCCAAAAUUCCUAAAGUGAAGCUCUAACCCCUAAUGUGACUCUAUUUGGAGAUGGAACCCAUUAGGAGGUAAUUAAGGUUCACCAAUGUCAUAAGGUGGGGCCCUGAUACCAUAGGAUUGGUUCUUACAAGAGACAUCUGAGGUCCACCAUGUGAUCUAGACAAGAAGAGGGUCUCACCUGAAUCCGGCAUUGCUGGCACUGUGAUCUCAGACUUCCAACCUCCAAAACUGUGAGUAAAUAUAAUUUCUAUUGUUUAAGCCAUGCAGCCUACAGUAUUUUGUUAUUGAAACCAGAGGUGACUAAUACAAAACACUUGGUAAUACACCCACAAUUUAUCCAGUUGGCUCCCAGAUUUGCAUCUGUAUCUCUUUAAUCCUCACCAUCCAAGUAAGUAGGUAAUAAUUUUUGCUGUUUAAUGGCUGAAAUUAGAAUAAUAGACUCUUUGGAUUAUAGUCAAGUCCAGAGCUGGGUAGUCUUAUAUGGCACACUUAACCUUUUUGGGCAUCAAUUUCUUCAAGUGCAAAAUGUGGAACGUAUUAGUUCCUGCUUCACAGAUUGCUUACGAGGAUCUAUUUCUGUGUCCACAACCCCCAGUGGGUGGUGUAGGCACUGACCAAGCGGGCCAGAGCCAAAUCAUAUUCCUGGAAGUCAGAAUUAGGGAGGCCAGAAAAGAGAGCGCCAGAGGGGUAAGUAUCCAUGUUCUUAAACUGCAUGAGGUUUCAGUGCUAAGACUGGGCAUAGGGACUGGGCUCAAACAGGAAACACAGGUGAGCGCCUUACUGGGGAGAAGCAUGUGCUGGACAAGUAGAACAGAACAAUACUGAAGAUUGCCACAGAUUGCCUUAUAGGAUCAGAUAAGAUACGAAUGGAGUGAGUUAGGUGACGCACCUAGCACGUGGUAAUGAUUGAAAUCAGUACCAAAGGCAUUAGUUUUUGUGUUAAAAACCCUUCUCCCACACCCAUGAUUCAAAGGGCAGGUUAAUGAUGAAGAUGUUGAUGAAGCAGGGGGUUUGAUGAGGGUCGGGGUUCAGGUGUGCACUGGAUGCAGUAGUUAUUAAGCAUCAAUUUGCUUUCCUUCCUCCUUUCCCUUUCAUGACGUAAUUGAAUAUAAUGGCCCUGUUGGUAGCUCACUGACCAUGCUUCCCACGUGGGAGUCUUCAGCGUUCAUCCCAGGAUGUGCACCCCUCUCCCCACUGCCCUUCUGCUGAGCUGGGAGGCCAGGUCUCUGGGCCUUGGGUAGCAGGAUGUUCCAGAAGGGCCCACAUAGUUUAACAGAGGACUUUAAUUAGGAACAUUGAAGUGGUGCCACCAGGACCCUUAGGACUCUGGUUUGAAAUCUUAGAAACUCUCUCCCAGUGAAGCAACCAAAUGCCUUGUUACAGAAAAGCAUUUUGAGAAAAAUAUAUUCAGGCACAUUAUCAUUAGACCAGAGAAUCUGUUGUAUCUGAAAAGGAAUAAGGGCGAGGAUUCAGACACCUGCCCAACAAAGACAUCUUAUCUGAAACAAUAAGGCAGAGAUUGUUCUGGACUCCCUUGCUUUUGCGCCCCAGGGUUGUUUGGCUUGAAUGACUGCCAAAGCCUAAAGUUCAAAAGAGAGUCACCAGUGGGAAAGAGGCCAGCCUUCUUGGAGUUGGGUUCCCAGAAUUCUCCCAUUUAUUGUCAAGCCUCUCACUCCAAGGUCAGCCUGCUCUGGUUGGUGGUUCGGUUUUAGAGACAGCCCCUCCCUGUACCAUAUAAAGACUGCGAGAGGGAUUCUGACAGUAAAAUCAUCAACUAUGUUGUCCAUUCAAGGACCUAAACUUGGAUAUGUCAACUUCUUCCAGAAGCCACCACCAACGUCAUGUCUGAGGUUCAUGAGGAUGGGCAGCCCCUCGCACACUGAACGCAGCUAUUCUCAUUAGGCUGUCAUAACAGGAGCAAGCAUUUCAUCCUUUUAAAAGUGUUUUAUUGUAGUUGAAUGCAAAUAUGAAUUCAGUUGAUAGGAGUUUAGGUAAGCCAUUAUGCUAAGCUUGGUUUCAUCUUUGAGAUCUUCCACUCUUUUGCUUAACACCCCCUGCCCGUGAAACAUUCACCAUGUCCUGCUGGGUUCUACCUCCGAGUUACCACAGGAACCAACCACUUCUCCAUUGCCACCACACUGGCCAAGUCACCCUCAUGUUUCACCUCUGUUACUGUGACAGCCUCCUAACUGUCCUCUCUGCCCCAAGUCUGCCCUCCCCUCCCCCACAAAAUCUAUUCUCUGUGCUCUCACCAGAACAGUGGUUUCAGCACCCAAGCCUCCCCUUGCUCAAAACCUUGUUGCUCCUAGGCUAAAACUCAGAACUUUUCCCCUGGCCCCUGCCUGCCUCUGCCUCCUCAUCUUGACCCUUGUUCCCUGUCCAUCCCUCUCUGCCUGCAGCCACAUUAACCUCCCAGCUUCUUCCACCCUUCCCUCCACCACCCAUCGAUCACAGUUCAAAUGGCACUUCCUAGGGAAGUUUCCCACGAGACCCCCUAUCUAGGGCAGGUCUCUCUUUCAGUUUUCAUUAACUGUGUUUUCUUUUCUUGAGAGUAAUUAC